AGUAACGUAGCUAACGCGUGAAGUCAGCCGCCUGGGAGUACGGUCGCAAGAUUAAAACUCAAAGGAAUUGACGGGGACCCGCACAAGCGGUGGAUGAUGUGGAUUAAUUCGAUGCAACGCGAAAAACCUUACCCACCUUUGACAUGUACGGAAGUCGCUAGAGAUAGCUUCGUGCUCGAAAGAGAACCGUAACACAGGUGCUGCAUGGCUGUCGUCAGCUCGUGUCGUGAGAUGUUGGGUUAAGUCCCGCAACGAGCGCAACCCUCGUCCUUAGUUGCCAUCAUUAAGUUGGGCACUCUAAGGAAACCGCCGGUGAUAAGCCGGAGGAAGGUGGGGAUGACGUCAAGUCCUCAUGGCCCUUAUGGGUAGGGCUUCACACGUCAUACAAUGGUCGGUACAGAGGGUUGCCAACCCGCGAGGGGGAGCCAAUCCCAGAAAGCCGAUCGUAGUCCGGAUCGUAGUCUGCAACUCGACUACGUGAAGUCGGAAUCGCUGGUAAUCGCGGAUCAGAAUGCCGCGGUGAAUACGUUCCCGGGUCUUGUACACACCGCCCGUCACACCAUGGGAGUGGGUUUCACCAGAAGUAGCUAGCCUAACCGUAAGGGGGGCGGUUACCACGGUGAGAUUCAUGACUGGGGUGAAGUCGUAACAAGGUAACCAAUC
Molecule: ribosomal RNA, 663 nt
Filed under: uncultured bacterium
Lineage: Bacteria
Description: bacterial SSU rRNA
Rfam family: Bacterial small subunit ribosomal RNA
Source: RNAcentral